CCCCUGAUAGCUCAGUUGGUAAAGAAUCUGCCUCUAAUGCAGAAGACCCCAGUUCGAUUCCAGGGUAGGGAA
This 72-nucleotide transfer RNA is filed under the name Ovis aries (sheep). It matches the Rfam family "tRNA". Rfam says of the family: Transfer RNA (tRNA) molecules are approximately 80 nucleotides in length. Their secondary structure includes four short double-helical elements and three loops (D, anti-codon, and T loops). Further hydrogen bonds mediate the characteristic L-shaped molecular structure. tRNAs have two regions of fundamental functional importance: the anti-codon, which is responsible for specific mRNA codon recognition, and the 3' end, to which the tRNAs corresponding amino acid is attached (by aminoacyl-tRNA synthetases). tRNAs cope with the degeneracy of the genetic code in two manners: having more than one tRNA (with a specific anti-codon) for a particular amino acid; and 'wobble' base-pairing, i.e. permitting non-standard base-pairing at the 3rd anti-codon position. The record is from Rfam by way of RNAcentral. Lineage: Eukaryota; Metazoa; Chordata; Mammalia; Artiodactyla; Bovidae.